RNAcentral lists this unclassified non-coding RNA (222 nucleotides) under plant metagenome. Its description in RNAcentral is "partial contains small subunit ribosomal RNA, internal transcribed spacer 1, and 5.8S ribosomal RNA". The record is from RNAcentral.
UUUCCGUAGGUGAACCUGCGGAAGGAUCAUUAAAGAACGCCCCGUUUUUUGAAAUGGGUAAUUCUAAACCGUGUAUACAUACCUUUGUUGCUUUGGCAGGCCGCCCCUCAGGGCGUCGGCUCCGGCUGACCGCGCCUGCCAGAGGACCCAAACUCUUUUGUUUAGUGAUGUCUGAGUACUAUAUAAUAGUUAAAACUUUCAACAACGGAUCUCUUGGUUCUG